UACGUAGGGUGCAAGCGUUAAUCGGAAUUACUGGGCGUAAAGCGUGCGCAGGCGGCUUUGCAAGACAGAUGUGAAAUCCCCGGGCUCAACCUGGGAACUGCAUUUGUGACUGCAUGGCUAGAGUACGGUAGAGGGGGAUGGAAUUCCGCGUGUAGCAGUGAAAUGCGUAGAUAUGCGGAGGAACACCGAUGGCGAAGGCAAUCCCCUGGACCUGUACUGACGCUGAGGAGCGAAAGCGUGGGGAGCGAACAGG
This 253-nucleotide ribosomal RNA is filed under the name uncultured bacterium. RNAcentral's name for it is "partial 16S ribosomal RNA". It matches the Rfam family "Bacterial small subunit ribosomal RNA", at positions 524 to 776 of the family's 1533-position model. The record is from RNAcentral.